Molecule: long non-coding RNA, 1650 nt
Organism: Halichondria panicea
Lineage: Eukaryota; Metazoa; Porifera; Demospongiae; Suberitida; Halichondriidae
Exons: 5
Source: RefSeq, a predicted model, not a curated record
GUAAUUUCUACAACAGAUUGCCAAGGAAAGAGCUAUCUCAACAACACAAGUCUCUCCUGUCAUAAAGAGCUACCACGAGUACAGCAUCCUGUACAGAAAGUUAUCGGUGGUCAGCUAUCCAGCGCUGAACAGCAUAUUGACCAGCGACUACUAACACUCAGUCUAGAACCAGACAUUGAGCUCAGGGGAAAGGUUGGUUGCAGGAACAUGAAGCGUCUCAUGCUGUACAUGAGUGACAGUCUACCAAUGUACACUCUGGACUGGCCCUGGGUAGACUACAACAAGUUCAUUGUACCCGCCAUGAGUAGAGUAUCAUUUCUCAAUCGUACGCUAACUCACGACCAAAAAUGUCACGUAUAUAUUCUUCAGAAUACUACAAGUUCAUGGACCCCCUGGAGAGAUUGGUGUCGACUUAUAGAUGGGUUAUGACAAGCUGUUCCCAGACAAAAUAAAGAUGGCUAUUUUAGAAAGGUACGGCACUAAUGAGCUCCGAGUGUGGAGGCGUGUCAUUACAGUACGUGACUACAACAUCUCCGUAACUUUCCCAGAGUUUUGUCGCUAUGUAACUGAAACCAAAUCCUCUGAAAUGAACGAACAUUUCCUACCCUCAAAAUGGAUAUUUGUCAUCCUUGUCUAAUUGCUAUGCAGAAAUUAUUCUCAAGAUUCCGCUCAACUUAUAAAGAAAUUUAAGGCCGACCCGAAGUUUUAUCGUGAUGAAUUCGCUACACGGACCUCACGAGAGGACCAGCCAGAAACUGUUACAAUAUUACCGGCAGCUCACUAUUAGAGAGAAGGUGAAGCUAUACUCGGCCGACUGUAUGAUGAGCUAUUAUUUUAUUACACCGUCUAUCCUAGUGAGAGGAACUCACACCAACUAAUACUAGGCUUUGACUGGACUCCUCCAAUAAUAUAGUAGCUGCAUGUGCAUAUCUUAUUUCACACAAAAGAACCACAGUAGGUGUACCUACCUCGAUCCAAUUAGAUGCGAAUAAUUUUUCACCUCCAAAAAAAAGCAACCUAGCUCUGGCAGAGGUCUUAAAAGUGUCACUUUAAAUUGAGGUCUUAUGGUAACUGUAUUUAGACCAAGCACGACCAAACACAGUAUAUAUUACUCUUGUCUGCCUUAUAAAUGUGUUUGGAACGUCAGUGUUUUUAGAUCCGUGAUUUAUUUCAGGCCCAAAUUGUCCAUAGCGUGGGCUAUAAUAAUUAUUAUAAUUAUUAUAAAUGGGUGCAUGUACUUUUCAGAGUUUUAUAGCUAAAUUUGAGGUUGUACUACGAACAUCCGAUUUCAAAGAGUUGGGAUACCGUCCCUCGCAAGGUAAAGGAAGCAUGCACCUGGUCAAUAUUUAGUCAAUACCUUUUGAAAAUUGAUAAUUUACUUAUUUCUAUACACAUUACACCCUCCUCCUACAUUGUUUGCAUGGUAACCUCUCUCUCUCUUUCUCUCUCUCUCAGGUGAACUAAAGAGAAGUCGCAGUUAACAAGAUAGCCAGCUGCUGGGAUGUCACGAGGGAACGAGAAAUCAGUUCUCUAAAGUCCAUAGUCUUGAACAUUUGAAACCAUCAACUAUUAGUCUUGUAACAGUUGUGUAUCACAUGCACCCUCUCUUGCUAAAUAUUAUUUAGCAGCAAUGUUAUUGAAAAUAAACUU